UUGGGAAUAUUGCACAAUGGGGGCAACCCUGACGCAGCCAUGCCGCGUGAGUGAAGAAGGCCUUAGGGUUGUAAAACUCUUUCACCGGUGAAGAUAAUGACGGUAGCCGGAGAAGAAGCACCGCCCAACUCCGUGCCAGCAGCCGCGGUAUUACGGAGGGGGCUAGCGUUGUUCGGAAUUACUGCGCGUAAAGCGCACGUAGGCGCGCUGGUCAGUUGGGGGUGAAAUCCCGGGGCUCAACCUCGGAACUGCCCUCAAUACUACCAGUCUUGAGUUCGAGAGAGGUAAGUGGAAUUCCUAGUGUAGAGGUGAAAUUCGUAGAUAUUAGGAAGAACACCGGUGGCGAAGGCGGCUUACUGGCUCGAUACUGACGCUGAGGUGCGAAAGCGUGGGGAGCAAACAGGAUUAGAUACCCCCGUAGUCC
RNAcentral lists this ribosomal RNA (424 nucleotides) under uncultured prokaryote. Its description in RNAcentral is "bacterial SSU rRNA". It matches the Rfam family "Bacterial small subunit ribosomal RNA", at positions 355 to 796 of the family's 1533-position model. The record is from RNAcentral.